RNAcentral lists this ribosomal RNA (238 nucleotides) under Bacillus velezensis. Its description in RNAcentral is "partial 16S ribosomal RNA". It matches the Rfam family "Bacterial small subunit ribosomal RNA", at positions 1 to 228 of the family's 1533-position model. Lineage: Bacteria; Bacillati; Bacillota; Bacilli; Caryophanales; Bacillaceae. The record is from RNAcentral.
UUUAUCGGAGAGUUUGAUCCUGGCUCAGGACGAACGCUGGCGGCGUGCCUAAUACAUGCAAGUCGAGCGGACAGAUGGGAGCUUGCUCCCUGAUGUUAGCGGCGGACGGGUGAGUAACACGUGGGUAACCUGCCUGUAAGACUGGGAUAACUCCGGGAAACCGGGGCUAAUACCGGAUGGUUGUUUGAACCGCAUGGUUCAGACAUAAAAGGUGGCUUCGGCUACCACUUACAGAUGG